RNAcentral lists this ribosomal RNA (253 nucleotides) under uncultured bacterium. RNAcentral's name for it is "partial 16S ribosomal RNA". It matches the Rfam family "Bacterial small subunit ribosomal RNA", at positions 524 to 776 of the family's 1533-position model. The record is from RNAcentral.
UACGAAGGGGGCUAGCGUUGCUCGGAAUCACUGGGCGUAAAGCGCACGUAGGCGGCUUGUUAAGUCAGGGGUGAAAUCCUGGAGCUCAACUCCAGAACUGCCUUUGAUACUGAAGAUCUUGAGUCCGGGAGAGGUGAGUGGAACUGCGAGUGUAGAGGUGAAAUUCGUAGAUAUUCGCAAGAACACCAGUGGCGAAGGCGGCUCACUGGCCCGGUACUGACGCUGAGGCACGAAAGCGUGGGGAGAAAACAGG